RNAcentral lists this ribosomal RNA (253 nucleotides) under uncultured bacterium. Its description in RNAcentral is "partial 16S ribosomal RNA". It matches the Rfam family "Bacterial small subunit ribosomal RNA", at positions 524 to 776 of the family's 1533-position model. The record is from RNAcentral.
UACGGAGGGUGCAAGCGUUGCUCGGAAUUACUGGGCGUAAAGGGCGUGUAGGCGGUUUCGUAUGUCUGGCGUGAAAGCCCCGGGCUCACCUCGGGAAGUGCGUCGGAAACUGCGAGACUAGAGUCCCGGAGAGGGAGGUGGAAUUCCAGGUGUAGCGGUGAAAUGCGUAGAUAUCUGGAAGAACACCGGUGGCGAAGGCGGCCUCCUGGACGGUGACUGACGCUGAGGCGCGAAAGCUAGGGGAGCAAACGGG